GUGGGGAUGGUAUGGAUGUUUUCUGGAAUGACCCAUUAUACCAUAAGUAUUGUAUCCCAUGGACACCAUCUUAUCAGUUCUGUAGUUUUUUGACAAUCUACUGUAAACCUCCAACUAUAAGCACUGGGCUUAUAUUCUUUCGUAAGUGAUUUUUGAUGGGCUUACACAAGGGGGGCUUAUACACGGGGGGGGGGGGGGUAUAUUCGGAGGUUUAUGGUAUGUAUGGUAUUCACGAUUUUCAGUGUAUAGUCUUCUCUUGCUCAUCACAAAUUAAUAAAAAGAUCACACACUACAUAAUUGAUGUUUAUAAAAUUUAUUUAUUUUAAAAUCGAAA
Molecule: non-coding RNA, 334 nt
Organism: Paramuricea clavata
Lineage: Eukaryota; Metazoa; Cnidaria; Anthozoa; Malacalcyonacea; Plexauridae
Source: the annotation of a GenBank genome assembly